Molecule: ribosomal RNA, 233 nt
Filed under: uncultured bacterium
Lineage: Bacteria
Description: partial 16S ribosomal RNA
Rfam family: Bacterial small subunit ribosomal RNA
Source: RNAcentral
UAAGCCUACGGGACGCAGCAGUGGGGAAUAUUGGGCAAUGGACGGAAGUCUGACCCAGCAACGCCGCGUGAAGGAAGAAGGCUUUCGGGUUGUAAACUUCUUUUAAGGGGGAAGAGCAGAAGACGGUACCCCUUGAAUAAGCCACGGCUAACUACGUGCCAGCAGCCGCGGUAAUACGUAGGUGGAAAGCGUUGUCCGGAUUUACUGGGUGUAAAGGGCGUGCAGCCGGGCCG